Molecule: small nuclear RNA, 107 nt
Organism: Mustela putorius furo (domestic ferret)
Lineage: Eukaryota; Metazoa; Chordata; Mammalia; Carnivora; Mustelidae
Source: Ensembl
CUGUUUGCAUUGGCAACACAUGGACUAAAACUGAAUGGAUACGGAGAAGAUUGGCUUGGCCCCUGUGCCAGGGUGACAUUCAAAGUUGUGAAGCCUUCCCUGUUUUU